RNAcentral lists this ribosomal RNA (487 nucleotides) under uncultured bacterium. RNAcentral describes it as "partial 16S ribosomal RNA". It matches the Rfam family "Bacterial small subunit ribosomal RNA", at positions 28 to 507 of the family's 1533-position model. The record is from RNAcentral.
GACGAACGCUGGCGGCGUGCUUAACACAUGCAAGUCGAACGGGCUCUGUCUGGCUGUGUGCUGGGUGGGGUUAGUGGCGAACGGGUGAGUAAUACGUGAGUAACCUGCCCUCUUCUUUGGGAUAAGCCUUGGAAACGGGGUCUAAUACUGGAUAUUCCUGUCUGGUCGCAUGGCUGGGUGGGGAAAGUUUUUUUCGGUGGGGGAUGGGCUCGCGGCCUAUCAGCUUGUUGGUGGGGUGAUGGCCUACCAAGGCGUCGACGGGUAGCCGGCCUGAGAGGGUGACCGGCCACACUGGGACUGAGAUACGGCCCAGACUCCUACGGGAGGCAGCAGUGGGGGAUAGUGCACAAUGGGCGCAAGCCUGAGGCAGCGACGCCGCGUGGGGGAUGACGGCUUUCGGGUUGUAAACCUCUUUCGUCGGGGGACAAGGCUCUGCUUGGUGGUGGGGUUGAGGGUACCCGGUGAAGAAGCGCCGGCUAACUACGUG